This 481-nucleotide ribosomal RNA is filed under the name Pontoscolex corethrurus complex sp. L1. RNAcentral's name for it is "partial small subunit ribosomal RNA". It matches the Rfam family "Bacterial large subunit ribosomal RNA", at positions 1827 to 2598 of the family's 2925-position model. The record is from RNAcentral. Lineage: Eukaryota; Metazoa; Annelida; Clitellata; Crassiclitellata; Glossoscolecidae.
UACCUUAAGACAAAAAUAAUUUAAGGCAAGCCCUGCCCAGUGAAAUCUUCAACGGCCGCGGUAUCCUAACCGUGCAAAGGUAGCAUAAUAACUUGCCUAUUAAUUAUAGGAUAGAAUGAAAGGGUAAACGAAAUAGGAGCUGUCUCUAUUAGCCCAAUGAAAAUUAUUUUUUAACUGAAGAAAGUUAAAUUCAACUGAAGGACAAGAAGACCCUAUAGAGCUUAAUUUAACCUACUAAAUAAGUAAAAAUUAAAUUCGGUUGGGGCGACCGAUGCUCUACAAAUCAUCACCCACAAAAAGAAAUAUACAUCUCAAAAAAGACCCUGACCCAGAUCAAAAAAACAAGCUACCUUAGGGAUAACAGGCUAAUCUCAUUAAUGAGUCCCCAUCUAUAAUGUUGGUUGGCACCUCGAUGUUGGCUUAGGGAAUCAAAAGGGCGCAGAAGCUUUUUAAGACGGUUUGUUCAACCAUUAAACCCCUA